RNAcentral lists this ribosomal RNA (403 nucleotides) under uncultured bacterium. RNAcentral describes it as "bacterial SSU rRNA". It matches the Rfam family "Bacterial small subunit ribosomal RNA", at positions 28 to 433 of the family's 1533-position model. The record is from RNAcentral.
GACGAACGCUGGCGGCGUGCUUAACACAUGCAAGUCGAGCGGUAAGGCCCUUUCGGGGGUACACGAGCGGCGAACGGGUGAGUAACACGUGGGUGACCUGCCCUCAGCUCUGGGAUAAGCCCGGGAAACUGGGUCUAAUACUGGAUAUGACUCCAUGACGCAUGUUGUGGGGUGGAAAGCCUUGUGCGGCUGAGGAUGGGCCCGCGGCCUAUCAGCUUGUUGGGGGGUGAUGGCCUACCAAGGCGACGACGGGUAGCCGGCCUGAGAGGGCGACCGGCCACACUGGGACUGAGACACGGCCCAGACUCCUACGGGAGGCAGCAGUGGGGAAUCUUGCGCAAUGGGCGAAAGCCUGACGCAGCGACGCCGCGUGGAGGAUGAAGGCUUUCGGGUUGUAAACUCC